AGAAGUCGUACAGGUCUCCGUAGGUGAACCUGCGGAGGGAUCCAUAGCAUUCGUAAACAAUCAUGUCGGUCAAAAAAAAAAGCGAGGGGGGACGCCCUCUCCACCGACCCUCCUUGGCUAGGGCUGGCCGUCCGAGAGGCGCCAGACCCAGGCCUCACUGCCACGGUACCGCGGUGCCCUGCAACCCCCGGGAGAACGUUGUCCCACUUGGGGCGCGCAGGACCCAUGCACCCGGUACGGGCUUACGGCUGGACGGACCCCACCCAAGCGGGUGGCUCGGCCGUCCAGCCGGAAGCUGGGGCCUCCAACCAAGCAGCCAUUCGGUGGUGGUCCAUUCGUGGCCCACCAAUGGGUGGCUGUGGAGCCCCGCCGCCGCUAUACUACAUUCAUAACAAUCGUCCUCAGAAUCAACCUGUGUGUGUGCCUUGAGCGUCUAGCACGCCAAGCAAGCUAACUGAAAGUAACACUGUACAAUGGAUUUCUUGGCUCCCACAUCGAUGAAGAACGCAGCAAAGCGCGAUAGGUAGUGUGAAUUGCAGAAUUCCGUGAAUCAUCGAAUUUUUGAACGCACAUUGCGCUCAAGUCUUCGGGCUUGAGCAUGUCUGCCUCAGCGUCGUUUAAAAUGGCUUGCCGUCCGUGACCCUUGCCACUCCUGAAGGAGGGCAUGGGUUUAAGCCGUGACCUCCGGCACGUCCGUCCAUCCGUGGGCGGCGUGCGGCAGCAGCCUUUCCGGCACUGCUCAUCGUAAGCAUGCUGCAUCGCGUGGCAUAUAUGCUCUACCAUGGGCCCUGCUGGUUAGUUGGAUGCGGCGGCUUGUAUGUGCUCUCCAACAACACACGCCUUGCGGGGUGCGUGCUGUUUGGGGGUGCGCAAGCUGCUGCUGCAGCUGGACACCUGGCUGCGCAACACACCAUUCGACCUGAGUUUAGGCAGGGUACCCGCUGAACUAAGCUCAAG
RNAcentral lists this ribosomal RNA (957 nucleotides) under Cladophora sp. ZZ-2016. RNAcentral's name for it is "eukaryotic LSU rRNA". The stretch from base 463 to 616 matches the Rfam family "5.8S ribosomal RNA". The record is from RNAcentral. Lineage: Eukaryota; Viridiplantae; Chlorophyta; Ulvophyceae; Cladophorales; Cladophoraceae.